RNAcentral lists this ribosomal RNA (253 nucleotides) under uncultured bacterium. RNAcentral describes it as "partial 16S ribosomal RNA". It matches the Rfam family "Bacterial small subunit ribosomal RNA", at positions 524 to 776 of the family's 1533-position model. The record is from RNAcentral.
UACAGAGGGUGCGAGCGUUAAUCGGAAUUACUGGGCGUAAAGGGUGCGUAGGUGGUUGCAUAAGUUAGGUGUGAAAGUCCCGGGCUUAACCUGGGGAUUGCGCCUAAUACUGUGUAGCUAGAGUAUUGUAGAGGAAGGUGGAAUUUCCAGUGUAGCGGUGAAAUGCGUAGAUAUUGGAAGGAACAUCGGUGGCGAAGGCGACCUUCUGGACAGAUACUGACACUGAGGCACGAAAGCAUGGGGAGCAAACAGG